RNAcentral lists this transfer RNA (66 nucleotides) under Macrosteles quadrimaculatus. Its description in RNAcentral is "tRNA-Cys". It matches the Rfam family "tRNA". Rfam says of the family: Transfer RNA (tRNA) molecules are approximately 80 nucleotides in length. Their secondary structure includes four short double-helical elements and three loops (D, anti-codon, and T loops). The record is from RNAcentral. Lineage: Eukaryota; Metazoa; Arthropoda; Insecta; Hemiptera; Cicadellidae.
UGUUUUAUAGUUUAAUUAAAAUAUUAAAUUGCAAAUUUAAUGAUGAUUUCAAAAAAUCUAAGACUU